ACUUUACUCGUUGAACCCAGCUCGUUCCUCUCCUCGUCUUCUCUGCUAUCCCAAGAACAGAACCAGCCACCCACCUCUCUCUCUCUCCCCAAGAAUAGAGCAUGGCCGCCGCCGCCUCGAUCUGCCCCGUCCGGGCAUCUCCGGCGACACGGUCCGGUGGGCUUGCCACCGGCUGCAGCGGCAAUGACAUCUCCAUGCCUACAUCCUCCCCCAGCGCAGCCACACGCACGAGGCGUGUAGCCAUGGGCGUCGGGCGUGUGCGGCUUCACCGGCGCUGCUCGGUCGCAUGGCUCUGCUGCUAACGGUGUGGACUAGCCACAUCCUACUGCUACUACUGCAAGAUAAAUAGAUCAAGGUGAAUAGAUGCUCAUGGACUGAUUCAAACCGAGGUGAAGAUAGACAAGAAGUCAAGCAAGAAGGGCUAACACAACAAGGUACUUGAUUAGUACUUGAUGGCGCAUGCGACCCAAAGGGCUUCACCGCAGUGAAGGACAGCAGUGUGGCAGAAGGUGAAAAGGCAAGUGGUGGUGGUACUCCAGUGUAUGUGUGUGUGUGAGGUGGAAUGGACCACAGUGAAAGGAAUGGCUCCUAUUUAUAGUGGGGUUAGUAGCUAUGUCGGUUUGGAGAGGCAUUACAUCUGGCAUGCAUGCGUGGUUAGGCUUGCAUGCAUGCCUCCACUUGUGUCUCUUGUAGGCUGUACUAGGGACAAGUGUAAUUUGCUUGACUGGCCAUUAGUUGGCAUUUACUUUAUGUGGAAAAAAAAUGAGACCAAGAUCUGAUUAUAAAUUUGUAGAAUACAUGGAGGUUUGGAAAUAUUUUG
This is a non-coding RNA of Aegilops tauschii subsp. strangulata, 820 nucleotides long. The record is from RefSeq and is a predicted model, not a curated record. NCBI's taxonomy places the organism in Eukaryota, Viridiplantae, Streptophyta, Magnoliopsida, Poales, Poaceae.